This 327-nucleotide ribosomal RNA is filed under the name Escherichia coli. RNAcentral describes it as "partial 23S ribosomal RNA". It matches the Rfam family "Bacterial large subunit ribosomal RNA", at positions 165 to 530 of the family's 2925-position model. The record is from RNAcentral. Lineage: Bacteria; Pseudomonadati; Pseudomonadota; Gammaproteobacteria; Enterobacterales; Enterobacteriaceae.
CAUAGGUUAAUGAGGCGAACCGGGGGAACUGAAACAUCUAAGUACCCCGAGGAAAAGAAAUCAACCGAGAUUCCCCCAGUAGCGGCGAGCGAACGGGGAGCAGCCCAGAGCCUGAAUCAGUGUGUGUGUUAGUGGAAGCGUCUGGAAAGGCGCGCGAUACAGGGUGACAGCCCCGUACACAAAAAUGCACAUACUGUGAGCUCGAUGAGUAGGGCGGGACACGUGGUAUCCUGUCUGAAUAUGGGGGGACCAUCCUCCAAGGCUAAAUACUCCUGACUGACCGAUAGUGAACCAGUACCGUGAGGGAAAGGCGAAAAGAACCCCGGC